This 467-nucleotide ribosomal RNA is filed under the name uncultured bacterium. RNAcentral's name for it is "partial 16S ribosomal RNA". It matches the Rfam family "Bacterial small subunit ribosomal RNA", at positions 28 to 507 of the family's 1533-position model. The record is from RNAcentral.
GACGAACGCUGGCGGCGUGCUUAACACAUGCAAGUCGAACGGAAAGGCCUCUUUCGGGGGGUACUCGAGUGGCGAACGGGUGAGUAACACGUGAGUAACCUGCCCUUGACUUUGGGAUAACUUCAGGAAACUGGGGCUAAUACCGGAUAGGAGCUCCUGCUGCAUGGUGGGGGUUGGAAAGUUUCGGCGGUUGGGGAUGGACUCGCGGCUUAUCAGCUUGUUGGUGGGGUAGUGGCUUACCAAGGCUUUGACGGGUAGCCGGCCCGAGAGGGUGACCGGCCACAAUGGGACCGAGAUACGGCCCAGACUCCUACGGGAGGCAGCAGGGGGGAAUAUUGCACAAUGGGUGGGAGCCUGAUGCAGCAACGCCGUGUGCGGGAUGACGGCCUUCGGGUUGUAAACCGCUUUCGCUCAUGACGAAGCUUUGUGUGACGGUAGUGGGUAAAGAAGCACCGGCUAACUACGUG